RNAcentral lists this ribosomal RNA (82 nucleotides) under Prevotella sp. P5-92. Its description in RNAcentral is "Bacterial large subunit ribosomal RNA". It matches the Rfam family "Bacterial large subunit ribosomal RNA", at positions 1 to 82 of the family's 2925-position model. The record is from Rfam by way of RNAcentral. Lineage: Bacteria; Pseudomonadati; Bacteroidota; Bacteroidia; Bacteroidales; Prevotellaceae.
AAGAAAGUGAAUAAGGGCGCAUGGCGGAUGCCUUGGCUCAUGGAGGCGAUGAAGGACGUGAUAAGCUGCGAUAAGCCGCGGG